AAAGGUAAGUUUGGAAUUCUCAUUGUGCAUAAGAUUGACUAUACUUUCUUUUUCUUUCAGUUUGGGCUGAAAAAUGUCCACAUCCAGAGCUGAGGGAUGAUUGUCAUCUAGUCUCCAGAUCCAAGCCUGAAACACAGCAAUCUCAAACAGUUUGGGCUGAAAAAUGUCCACACCCAGAGCAGAGGGAUUAUUCUCAUCGAAUUUCCAAACCCAAGUCUGAAACACAGCAAUCUCAA
Molecule: long non-coding RNA, 236 nt
Organism: Peromyscus californicus insignis
Lineage: Eukaryota; Metazoa; Chordata; Mammalia; Rodentia; Cricetidae
Exons: 4
Source: RefSeq, a predicted model, not a curated record